RNAcentral lists this ribosomal RNA (301 nucleotides) under uncultured bacterium. RNAcentral's name for it is "partial 16S ribosomal RNA". It matches the Rfam family "Bacterial small subunit ribosomal RNA", at positions 509 to 807 of the family's 1533-position model. The record is from RNAcentral.
CAGUAGCCGCGGUAAAACGAGGGGGGCAAGCGUUGUUCGGAAUUACUGGGCGUAAAGCGUGCGUAGGCGGUUUGUUAAGACAGAUGUGAAAUCCCCGGGCUCAACCUGGGAACUGCAUUUGUGACUGGCAAGCUAGAGUGUGGCAGAGGGGGGUGGAAUUCCGCGUGUAGCAGUGAAAUGCGUAGAUAUGCGGAGGAACACCGAUGGCGAAGGCAGCCCCCUGGGCCAACACUGACGCUCAUGCACGAAAGCGUGGGGAGCAAACAGGAUUAGAUACCCGAGUAGUCCCUGUCUCUUAUAC